Molecule: long non-coding RNA, 1552 nt
Filed under: Nicotiana tabacum (common tobacco)
Lineage: Eukaryota; Viridiplantae; Streptophyta; Magnoliopsida; Solanales; Solanaceae
Description: long non-coding RNA (NTAB_LNC015729)
Source: RNAcentral
GUUUACAAACAAAUAAAAACAAUCACUAAGUACUCAACAGUACUGCAUCAUAGCAACAAAAAUAUAGUAGCAAAUACUUUUCCAUAUACAACCGCUAGAAGUAGUGUUCUCAGGGUUAACUUUUUCACAUUGAAAGUAUAAUAAUUUUUUGUAUUUAAAGCUACCCAUAGUCAAUGGUGUUAAGAACCUGCAAAAUAAGACAAGUGUAGCAUUUUUAAAACAAGUUAAUUUAUACUGAUAGUGUAAAUGAUUAACUGUGAAUGAAUAUAAGAUUAAUCAAUAGAUCAAUCAGUUGUUACAUGUGCCUUCGAGUUGACGAUAAAACUGCAAAAAGCACCACUUAUGUGAGUCUGUUUCAUAUUCAAGAACAAGCCUAAACUUGAAGCCAAUGCACAUAUAGACUUUACACCAGCAGUACACAAACAAAACUCAUUAGUCUGGCAAUACAGUAAUAAAAUGUAAACUUGAGGAAUAAAAGCUUAUGGUCAUAUAGGUAAUACAAUAAAUCUUGGCGUAACAGGUAACGUCCAGGGAAUCGCCGUGUGACCAGGAAGUCACGUCCAAGCCAUGAAAACAACCUCCUGUAGAAAUAUAAGAUAAGACUGCCUACAAUAAACCCGGAGCUUAAUGCACCGAGUAUCGUAAGAUCUAAAUAAAUACUCACGCGUGCUUCAGUUGACCAAAGUAAAUCAUUAAGACAUGGCAAUGUAAAACAAGUUAGAUAAAAUGGUUAAGUUAUUCAUAAACAUAGCAUCUCGAUAAGAUUAAUCCCAUCUAGUGUGUGUGCGCGCACCUUUGUGCAGAAAAUUAAAAGAAGAAAGGGUAUUGAGCAAAGUAGAAAGCCAGAAAACAGAUCAGAAAAUUUUGCAGAAAAAGACCAAAAAAGCCAUCAUUCUACAAUCAUAACACAAUGAUGAAAAAAAAGUACUGCCUCUCUGUUUCAAUUCAUGUGAACUUGUUUGACUGGGCAUAGAGUUUAAGAAAAAAUGAAUACUUCUGUAAUUUGUGGUCCUAAACAAGUAAAAAAGGGGUCCAGAGUAUUUGUGUGGUUGUAAAAUCUUUUCAUUAAGGGUAGAAUUGGGAGUUUAAGCUAAAUUGUUUUCAUAUUUAGAAAUGAGUCAUUCUUUUUGGAACGGAUCAAAUAAGAAAUAAGUUCACAUAAACUGGAAUGGAGGGAGUAUGUCUUAUUUACUGACAAAAGAAACCUAAGGUUAUGAAACACAGAGUAUGUAAAAAGGUUGUAAUGAUGAAAAAUGAGAAUCAGAACUCAAAGACUAAAGUCAAGAUCCUUAUCAUUACACCAAUCUGCAGAUACAUAACGGACAUACCAAAAUAGGUUAAUAAACAAGUACAAAUUUGUCCCAAAUGUUGAAUAUAGCACUUAUAAGUGACAAACAAAUAAAAUAAAAAGAACUUAAACAUGGGCCUCACCUUAUUUAUAUACCAAAAAAGAUCUUAAUCGCGAUACUAAUAUAUGGCAGCAAUCUCUGAGGGGAAUGAAGCCUGGUCCGACGACGCAAAAAAAUAUGAUCAAAAUUCAUAGGUCUAACAA